AUGCUUCUGUUCACUAGUGUCCAGGUGAUAGGUGGUAGUGUGGGGUUAUGUUGGGAGCCAUUUGGAACAUGCACUGUUUGCGAUUACCAGUAUUUGGACUGUUAUCUGCUGUUGUGAGAACUGCCUGUAAACCUAACCAGCAAAUCCUGCAUAUGAAGCUGUGUCCUGCCUGAGGUGAAAAUAAAAAGAGCAUGGGAGCUCAGGCAGGCUAUGUCUGCCACGUCUGCGGCAGCAGUAUCCAUUCCUAGCAUGAUAGUGUGGGAGGCUGGACGGCUUUGAGGAAUCUGGAUGCAGAGUGGCAGCAAAGGGAAUAAGGCUGAAAUAGUGAAUGCCAGUGCCUUGCGAACUUUAGACGUCAGUGCAACCUGAAUCCAUUCCCUAACCCCAGGAUACCUCAGAAGAAAAUCUGUAUUUGCACAACACGCCGCCUCUUCUGGGUUCUAUAAACAGCCACCUAUGCACAACCUCACAAUGUAUAGUAUUGAUGUGGUUUGGGGCAUUUUUAUAAGGGGUUUGUUAUGUCAAAAUAGCAUGUGUUAUGUUUAAACCAAUAGAAAAGCACUAGGAGAUGACUGUCGGUUUUCAGUCGUAUGUAUUGUUCUCCAUCAGAAUUACACUUUUAUUUGAUGCUGGACUCUAUCAGAAAUGGCAAAACCAACUGAGUUUCAGAUAUGUAACUUUACAUCGGCCAUUGUAUAUUUUAUACUUUUGCCUAUUAAAUAGAAUAUACUGACAAACCAGC
This is a long non-coding RNA of Pseudophryne corroboree (corroboree frog), 742 nucleotides long. RefSeq lists it as uncharacterized. The record is from RefSeq and is a predicted model, not a curated record. Lineage: Eukaryota; Metazoa; Chordata; Amphibia; Anura; Myobatrachidae. The transcript is spliced from 3 exons.